Molecule: ribosomal RNA, 305 nt
Filed under: uncultured bacterium
Lineage: Bacteria
Description: bacterial SSU rRNA
Rfam family: Bacterial small subunit ribosomal RNA
Source: RNAcentral
AACUCCUACGGGAGGCAGCAGUGGGGGAUAUUGCACAAUGGAGGAAACUCUGAUGCAGCGACGCCGCGUGAGGGAAGACGGUCUUCGGAUUGUAAACCUCUGUCUUUGGGGAAGAAAAUGACGGUACCCAAAGAGGAAGCUCCGGCUAACUACGUGCCAGCAGCCGCGGUAAUACGUAGGUGGCAAGCGUUAUCCGGAUUUAUUGGGUGUAAAGGGCGUGUAGGCGGGAGCGCAAGUCAGAUGUGAAAACUCAGGGCUCAACCCUGAGCCUGCAUUUGAAACUGUGUUUCUUGAGUGCUGGAGAG